AUUGAACGCUGGCGGCAGGCCUAACACAUGCAAGUCGAGCGGAUGAAGGGAGCUUGCUCCUGGAUUCAGCGGCGGACGGGUGAGUAAUGCCUAUGAAUCUGCCUGGUAGUGGGGGAUAACGUCCGGAAACGGGCGCUAAUACCGCAUACGUCCUGCGGGAGAAAGUGAGGGAUCUUCGGACCUCACGCUAUCAGAUGAGCCUAGGUCGGAUUAGCUAGUUGGUGGGGUAAAGGCCUACCAAGGCGACGAUCCGUAACUGGUCUGAGAGGAUGAUCAGUCACACUGGAACUGAGACACGGUCCAGACUCCUACGGGAGGCAGCAGUGGGGAAUAUUGGACAAUGGGCGAAAGCCUGAUCCAGCCAUGCCGCGUGUGUGAAGAAGGUCUUCGGAUUGUAAAGCACUUUAAGUUGGGAGGAAGGGCAGUAAGUUAAUACCUUGCUGUUUUGACGUUACCAACAGAAUAAGCACCGGCUAACUUCGUG
This 484-nucleotide ribosomal RNA is filed under the name uncultured bacterium. RNAcentral describes it as "partial 16S ribosomal RNA". It matches the Rfam family "Bacterial small subunit ribosomal RNA", at positions 30 to 507 of the family's 1533-position model. The record is from RNAcentral.